RNAcentral lists this ribosomal RNA (234 nucleotides) under uncultured bacterium. RNAcentral's name for it is "partial 16S ribosomal RNA". It matches the Rfam family "Bacterial small subunit ribosomal RNA", at positions 96 to 334 of the family's 1533-position model. The record is from RNAcentral.
UGGCGGACGGGUGAGUAAUGUCUGGGAAACUGCCUGAUGGGAGGGGGUAACUACUGGAAACGGUAGCUAAUACCGCAUAACGUCGCAAGACCAAAGAGGGGACCUUCGGGCCUCUUGCCAUCGGAUGUGCCCAGAUGGGAUUAGCUAGUAGGUGGGGUAACGGCUCACCUAGGCGACGAUCCCUAGCUGGUCUGAGAGGAUGACCAGCCACACUGGAACUGAGACACGGUCCAG